Molecule: long non-coding RNA, 551 nt
Organism: Vidua chalybeata
Lineage: Eukaryota; Metazoa; Chordata; Aves; Passeriformes; Viduidae
Exons: 3
Source: RefSeq, a predicted model, not a curated record
CUCGUGUGAGCACACACACAUGCACGAACACAGCAACUUCUGCAAGGCGAGCAGUCUUUGAAAUGGCAAAGUUGAACUUGUAAUUAUAAUUUACUUCUCCAGGCAUCUCAAAAAGCUGGCACCACCACCCACAGAGGAGAUGACCUCUGGCAUACAGUAGAUAUUCAGCUAAUUUUUGGCCUGUGUUCUUGAAAUGGUUGCUCAGAAGACAGCCUGUAGACUAAACAAAAUCUGUGGAAUCUGUUGCACUACUUAAACAAAUGAAACAACUGGUACUUAAAAAGGCAACAGGUGACCGGCAAAUGGCUGCUGACUCCCCUUGUAAUGUGCAGCUAAUUUAAGUGCCAGAGAUAACACAGAGGUGAGGACUAACUUCAGGUGAGGUCUAAGCAGACCCCUACCUCCAGCAAAACACCCAUGUCCAUUCCAGAUUCCUGAAAAGCCAUGCUCACUGCAGCUGCAGGUAAAGGCUGUGAAGGUGUGUAAUUCAGUAGCUGUUGCACUGAGGUUCUUUCAGCUUACUCUACCUCACCCACUGGCAAGGUCACCUC